CCUACGGGAGGCAGCAGUGAGGAAUAUUGGUCAAUGGACGAGAGUCUGAACCAGCCAAGUAGCGUGAAGGAUGACUGCCCUAUGGGUUGUAAACUUCUUUUAUAUGGGAAUAAAAUGUUCCACGUGUGGGAUUUUGUAUGUACCAUAUGAAUAAGGAUCGGCUAACUCCGUGCCAGCCGCCGCGGUAAUACGGAGGAUCCGAGCGUUAUCCGGAUUUAUUGGGUUUAAAGGGAGCGUAGGUGGAUUGUUAAGUCAGUUGUGAAAGUGUGCGGCUCAACCGUAAAAUUGCAGUUGAAACUGGCAGUCUUGAGUACAGUAGAGGUGGGCGGAACUCGUGGUGUAGCGGUGAAAUGCUGAGAUAUAACGAAGAACUCCGAUUGCGAAGGCAGCUCACUGGACUGCAACUGACACUGAGGCUCGAAAGUGUGGGUAUCAAACAGGAUUAGAUACCCGAGUAGUC
This 460-nucleotide ribosomal RNA is filed under the name uncultured bacterium. RNAcentral describes it as "partial 16S ribosomal RNA". It matches the Rfam family "Bacterial small subunit ribosomal RNA", at positions 338 to 795 of the family's 1533-position model. The record is from RNAcentral.